CCUCAAAGAAGUUGACCAGUGAUUGGCUCAGGUGUUGCCGAGUGCCAUCGCUAUGCAGAAAGUGUCCCUCAUCUGGGUAGAUCUACAGUACAGAAACAGAAAAGAAUAGUGCUGGAAAUGGACUUUCUCUGUAGGGAGGGAGAGCAGGUAACAGUUUCCUCCUGAUAUGGUGGAGGAGCUUGGUGCCCUGGAACCCGGACCCGUGGCCAUCGAAGCGGAUCACAACGGUGCUGUAACUGCUCACCAGCACCGUGGCCCAGUCCACACGGAACUGCUCUGUCACCAUCUGUCCGCCAGGUGUUCCAUCCCUGAGGGAAACAGAUUAACCAAUGACCCCAUUAUAGCUCUCUGUGACAGGGUCCAAAGUCAGGAGUCCAAUGUCAAAACGGAAUGUGCUAUAAUUCUAAUAUAAUCCCUACUGGGGUUGGUGUGAUUCAUAGAUAGUAUGUUUAUAUCUAGAAAAACAUGUGUGGGGGUAGUUAUUGUCAUACUUACACUAGUAGCAGUAGGGGGUAGUGAGCUGUGUCUAUGAAACCAGCUGGCUUCAGGAUCUGCAUUGUCAGAGCUGCAAGAAACAAGAUUGUGUAUUCGAAUGUAUUAUGGAUCCCCAUUAGCUGUUGCCAAGGCAGCAGCUACUCUUCCUGGGGUCCAGCAAAAUGAAGGCAGUUAUACAAUUUAAAAAACAU
Salmo salar (Atlantic salmon) is the source of this 686-nucleotide non-coding RNA. The record is from RefSeq and is a predicted model, not a curated record. NCBI's taxonomy places the organism in Eukaryota, Metazoa, Chordata, Actinopteri, Salmoniformes, Salmonidae.